AUUGGCUAAGUAAACUUCGUAAUUACUAAUUAGAACUAUUCCAUUAAUUUUAUGCUUGUAUUAACAGAGGCCGCCGAACGGCUCCCCCCCCCCCCCACACACACACACACACUUUAUUUGCAAGGGGAAAAUGUCCCCUUUUUGUGGAAAGCUUUCCAGCAAUUAAAGAGGAAUUAUAAAUGCCCCCUAGUAAGAAAUGCCCUGUUUUAUUAUUAUGCAUGUAAACAAACUUAAUUAAAAGGGUCUGAAUAGGGUUAACUGACUAAUGACAUUUGCCUGAAUUUUUGACUGACAACUGAUAAAAUAUCUUAACUGACAACUG
Non-coding RNA from Paramuricea clavata, 322 nucleotides. The record is from the annotation of a GenBank genome assembly. Lineage: Eukaryota; Metazoa; Cnidaria; Anthozoa; Malacalcyonacea; Plexauridae.